Long non-coding RNA from Coregonus clupeaformis (lake whitefish), 384 nucleotides. RefSeq lists it as uncharacterized. The transcript has 3 exons. Lineage: Eukaryota; Metazoa; Chordata; Actinopteri; Salmoniformes; Salmonidae. The record is from RefSeq and is a predicted model, not a curated record.
GGCUGGGUGAAGUUUUCGUCGGGAAUCCUGGUCUGUCAUUGGCCGAGCCGUCUGUCCAUCAGACUCAGUAGGCCGGGCCUGGAGGAACAGGUUGAGACGUUACAAGCUGCAAAAUCAACGAACGGGAUACACAGCGGUUACACUACGAACACAAACUGGAAGGGCUGAGUGCAGCGUGGGUGCCCAGGGAUAGGCUGUCUGAUGCUGGGGAACAGGGUGGCCGGUCCCCCCCGGUUAUGAACCAAACCAAGGGAGGCCUGGUCAUCUUCAGCGCCAACUCACACCCCUCCUCCAGGGAGCUCAGCGAGAGAAUCGGAGAGCGUCUGGGGGUGGAGCUUGGGAUGGUGCAGGUGUACCAGGAAGACAACAGAGGUGAGGAUCUGA